GAGAAAAGGAGGGAAUUCUGAUGAAAGUUUCUGGUGCGGACCCGGGAGGUCUUGUCUAGAGUGGAUGGGUGGAUGGAUAAAGGAGGAAGGUUCCUCCUCAUGUGGUGGACAGGAGUGCUGUCACAGGCUGCCCCAGACUGUCCCAGCUCUCUGUGUCUGUUAUUUCAGGAAUGAUUACUGUCUUUGUUUACAGGGCAAGGUGGCAGACAGCUGAUUUACCAGACAGAAGUUUAGAUGCCUUUGGUCGGCAUUAGAAGGAUUCUGCUUCUUGAGCUCAUGUGGGCUGGCUGAUAACCAGGGAGUGCAGGAAGCCCUCAAGGGGGAGACUCCAGUACUGUCCGUCAGCUCAGGUGCUGGACAGUCACAGCAUGGUAGGAGGGGAAGAACCCUGGGCCAAGAAUCUGUAGCCCUGGGAGCCAGAUCUGGUUCUGCUACUAACUCACUGCAUGAUACGCCUCAAGACUCUUCCUGUCUAUCUGGGGAGUGGGGUGUUGGGCCAGGUGGUCUCCUGUGUUGCUUCCCGCUUUGUGGGAACUCCGCUUUGUAGUUCUGAGAUUUAAAACUGCACCUGAACAACCUAAGGCAAGCCAAUUUCCAGGUCCAUGAUAGAUCAUGAAAGCCCUUUCCUCUUUCCUAGUGAGUUCCAUGUUGUUUCAAUUCUUUGAUGUUUAGAUACUCUGUGGUAGGAAGUUAUAAUAACGGUGACUUUGGUUUCUGUUACAACGAUUCUGGUAUCCGGGCAAGAACGGUGGGCUUAUGGAUUACCUAUGACAUAGAGUUAAUAUAAGUAGAGUGCUGACUGGCUGGCAGUAAGCCAGUGUAAGCAUUAACCAUCAUUAUUAUUAU
Molecule: long non-coding RNA, 846 nt
Filed under: Marmota monax (woodchuck)
Lineage: Eukaryota; Metazoa; Chordata; Mammalia; Rodentia; Sciuridae
Source: RNAcentral